UACGUAGGUCCCGAGCGUUGUCCGGAUUUAUUGGGCGUAAAGCGAGCGCAGGCGGUUAGAUAAGUCUGAAGUUAAAGGCUGUGGCUUAACCAUAGUACGCUUUGGAAACUGUUUAACUUGAGUGCAAGAGGGGAGAGUGGAAUUCCAUGUGUAGCGGUGAAAUGCGUAGAUAUAUGGAGGAACACCGGUGGCGAAAGCGGCUCUCUGGCUUGUAACUGACGCUGAGGCUCGAAAGCGUGGGGAGCAAACAGGAUUAGAUACCCUGGUAGUC
RNAcentral lists this ribosomal RNA (271 nucleotides) under uncultured Streptococcaceae bacterium. RNAcentral describes it as "partial 16S ribosomal RNA". It matches the Rfam family "Bacterial small subunit ribosomal RNA", at positions 524 to 795 of the family's 1533-position model. The record is from RNAcentral. Lineage: Bacteria; Bacillati; Bacillota; Bacilli; Lactobacillales; Streptococcaceae.